UACGUAGGGGUCGAGCGUUGUCCGGAGUUACUGGGCGUAAAGCGGGUGCAGGCGGCGCAUCGCGCCCGGCGGGAAAGCCCCCGGCUCAACCGGGGAGGGUCGUCGGGGACGGGUGCGCUUGAGGGUAUCAGGGGCAGGUAGAAUUCCCGGUGUAGUGGUGAAAUGCGUAGAGAUCGGGAGGAAUACCCGUGGCGAAGGCGGCCUGCUGGGAUACACCUGACGCUGAGACACGAAGGCGUGGGGAGCGAACGGG
This 253-nucleotide ribosomal RNA is filed under the name uncultured bacterium. RNAcentral describes it as "partial 16S ribosomal RNA". It matches the Rfam family "Bacterial small subunit ribosomal RNA", at positions 524 to 776 of the family's 1533-position model. The record is from RNAcentral.